RNAcentral lists this unclassified non-coding RNA (217 nucleotides) under Hevea brasiliensis (rubber tree). Lineage: Eukaryota; Viridiplantae; Streptophyta; Magnoliopsida; Malpighiales; Euphorbiaceae. The record is from RNAcentral.
GCCGCCGAAAUGCAAACCUUUUACACUCAGAAAUGACAAUAUCAUCCUCUUGUUGAGAUGCCAAAUCAUCAGAAAGGAAAUAAUAUAUUGAGAUAGAACAGUAGAAAUGGCAGCACCAGUUAUGCCCAGGUGAAAAUAAUACAUUAGCACAGGAAAUAAGAACACAGCUGAUAAAUUGCCCAGUCCAAGACAUAAGACAGGAGUCUUUGUAUCCUUA